Molecule: non-coding RNA, 75 nt
Organism: Ameiurus melas (black bullhead)
Lineage: Eukaryota; Metazoa; Chordata; Actinopteri; Siluriformes; Ictaluridae
Source: the annotation of a GenBank genome assembly
GGCAGUGGUAGCUUAGUGGUUAAGAUGUUGGACUGCUGAUGGGAAGGGUUGUGAGUUCAAUUCCCAGCACUGCUA